This 326-nucleotide long non-coding RNA is filed under the name Mytilus galloprovincialis (Mediterranean mussel). Lineage: Eukaryota; Metazoa; Mollusca; Bivalvia; Mytilida; Mytilidae. The record is from RNAcentral.
AUCGGGCUAUUCGUAGUGCCAUCUUUAACGCUCGUAGAACCAUCGGCCACUUUUUCUAGCCUUCGGGGACAACUUCGGGAAGGGUUCAAAAUUUUUUAACAUGUUAAAAAAUCCCCGAAGGUGCGUCCGAUGUUGAGGGUUCGUAUUGAGUUCGUAUCACCAUCCUCACCAUCGUAAUGUCACCGGGAAUGCAUCUUUGCACAUCGUAUUGUAUUCGUGUUUCCAUCGUUUCCAUCGGGCAGUUUUGACAUUACGAUGUCUACACGAAUGAAUCACGAAGAUACCCGAAGGUCUUACGAUGGCAACACGACUUCGUGAAGACCUCG